This 339-nucleotide unclassified non-coding RNA is filed under the name soil metagenome. Its description in RNAcentral is "partial contains 5.8S ribosomal RNA, internal transcribed spacer 2, and large subunit ribosomal RNA". The stretch from base 1 to 120 matches the Rfam family "5.8S ribosomal RNA", at positions 35 to 154 of the family's 154-position model. The record is from RNAcentral.
GAUGAAGAACGUAGCGAAAUGCGAUAAGUAGUGUGAAUUGCAUAAUUCAGUGAAUCAUCGAAUCUUUGAACGCACAUUGCGCCCCUCGGUAUUCCGUGGGGCAUGCCUGUUCGAGCGUCAUUUAACCCCUCAAGCCUAGCUUGGUAUUGGGUGCUUGUCCCGCCUCUCGCGCGGCGACUCACCUCAAAGUCAUUGGCAGCCCGCAUCUCGCCGGCCGUGAGCGCAGCACAGACGCGCUCUUGGCAACGACGGAUCGGCUCUCCAAAAGCUUAUUUCAACCACUGACCUCGGAUCAGGUAGGGAUACCCGCUGAACUUAAGCAUAUCAAUAAGCGGAGGA